UACGGGAGGCAGCAGUGGGGAAUAUUGCGCAAUGGACGAAAGUCUGACGCAGCAACGCCGCGUGAGUGAUGAAGGUCUUCGGAUCGUAAAGCUCUGUCGGCAGGAAACGAUGUUUUUGAGAGCUAAUAUCUCUCAGAAUUGACGGUACCUGCAAAGGAAGCACCGGCUAACUCUGUGCCAGCAGCCGCGGUAAAUACAGAGGGUGCAAGCGUUGUUCGGAAUCAUUGGGCGUAAAGGGCGCGUAGGCGGUUGAUUAAGUUGAAUGUGAAAGCCCGGGGCUCAACCUCGGAAGUGCAUUCAAAACUAGUCAACUAGAGUUCCGCAGAGGAUGGUAGAAUUCCCAGUGUAGAGGUGAAAUUCGUAGAUAUUGGGAGGAAUACCAGUGGCGAAGGGCGACCAUCUGGGACGGGAUACUGACGCUGAGGGCGCGAAAGCUGGGUAGCAAACAAGGAUUAAGGAAUAAC
RNAcentral lists this ribosomal RNA (464 nucleotides) under uncultured bacterium. Its description in RNAcentral is "bacterial SSU rRNA". It matches the Rfam family "Bacterial small subunit ribosomal RNA", at positions 340 to 786 of the family's 1533-position model. The record is from RNAcentral.